RNAcentral lists this ribosomal RNA (563 nucleotides) under uncultured archaeon. Its description in RNAcentral is "bacterial SSU rRNA". It matches the Rfam family "Archaeal small subunit ribosomal RNA", at positions 326 to 897 of the family's 1478-position model. The record is from RNAcentral.
CGGGGUGCCGCAGGCGAGAAAUCUAUGCAAUGCGGGAAACCGUGACAAGGGAACUCAGAGUGCCCGUAAAAUCGGGCUGUCUAUCGGUUUAAAUAAUCGGUGAAGAAAGGGCCGGGCCAGACCGGUUCCCGCCGCCGCGGUAAAACCGGCGGCCCGAGUGGUGGCCACUAUUAAUGGGCCUAAAGCCUUCGUAGCCGGUCUGUUAAGUUUCUGGGGAAAUUCUCCGGAUUAACCGGAAGGCGUGUCAGGGAUACUGGCAGACUAGGGACCGGGAGAGGUGAGAGGUACUCCAGGGGUAGGAGUGAAAUCCUGUAAUCCUUGGGGGACCACCUGUGGCGAAGGCGUUUCACCAGAACGGCUCCGACAGUGAGGGACGAAAGCUGGGGGAGCAAACCGGAUUAGAUACCCGGGUAGUCCCAGCUGUAAACGAUGCGCGUUAGGUGUAUCGGUGACCACGAGUCACUGAGGUGCCGAAGAGAAAUCGUGAAACUUGCCGCCUGGGAAGUACGGUCGCAAGGCUGAAACUUAAAGGAAUUGGCGGGGGAGCACAAGGGCGAAUCGCG